UCAAAAUGUCAAAGUGAAAGGCAAUAAAUUGUUGCCAAGUCAAUAGGAGCCCCAAGUGCCCAGCUGGCAGAGCUGUAUGCUAGGAAAAGAGCGUUCGCUUUACAAGGCGCGCAUUUUCCAUUUCCGCGGCGGCAUUUUUCAAUACGAAUUCCUUGGAGAACGCUUGACGACAUGCGCACUUCGGGCUUGUCUCAAAAUCUAAUUAGUUGGAUACUUCAUUAACCACAGCCGACAAUCAACAAAUGAGUAAUUAACAUGCGCCUGGGAUCAAAGAUAAAGCCGACACUACAGCGAGGCCUAAGACACCGCGCCAUGCAAAUUUUAUGCUCACUUAGUUGGCGCACAGCGCCGUUAUAAUGCCCGGUAGGUCUCAUGUGUGGCGCUUGACUAAGUAUGUCCCGGAACUGCGUUUUUGCGAUUCGUUUAAGACAUGUUUAAUGUUCAUUUACAAUAUGGAGGAGUCUUCUUUCACCUUAACGAAGAUGUGCAAUUGUGUUUCAUUAAAGAACACAAUCUACAUCAAGUAAAAGUUAUUCAAUUUUA
Drosophila virilis is the source of this 543-nucleotide non-coding RNA. NCBI's taxonomy places the organism in Eukaryota, Metazoa, Arthropoda, Insecta, Diptera, Drosophilidae. The record is from RefSeq and is a predicted model, not a curated record.